Molecule: ribosomal RNA, 331 nt
Filed under: uncultured eukaryote
Lineage: Eukaryota
Description: partial 18S ribosomal RNA
Rfam family: Eukaryotic small subunit ribosomal RNA
Source: RNAcentral
CAAUAGCGUAUAUUAAAGUUGUUGCAGUUAAAAAGCUCGUAGUUGAAUUUCGGAACUCCGUUCCCGUUUCUUGAUUGAGGCGGUGCGGGAUUCCUCCUCGCCUUUGGCGUCAUUUACUGUGAAAAAAUUAGAGUGUUCAAAGCAGGCAAUCGCUUGAAUACAUUAGCAUGGAAUAAUAAGAUAGGAUCUUCGUCUAUUUUGUUGGUUGCGGACAAAGAUAAUGAUUAAUAGGGAUAGUUGGGGGUGUCUGUAUUGUGUUGUCAGAGGUGAAAUUCUUAGAUUUACACAAGACAAACUACUGCGAANGNAUUCACNAAGGAUGUUUNCAUUA